Molecule: ribosomal RNA, 460 nt
Filed under: uncultured bacterium
Lineage: Bacteria
Description: partial 16S ribosomal RNA
Rfam family: Bacterial small subunit ribosomal RNA
Source: RNAcentral
CCUACGGGUGGCAGCAGUGAGGAAUAUUGGUCAAUGGGCGGAAGCCUGAACCAGCCAAGUAGCGUGCAGGAUGACUGCCCUACGGGUUGUAAACUGCUUUUAUACGGGAAUAACGCGCCUUACGUGUAGGUCUUUGCAUGUACCGUAUGAAUAAGGACCGGCUAAUUCCGUGCCAGCAGCCGCGGUAAUACGGAGGGUCCGGGCGUUAUCCGGAUUUAUUGGGUUUAAAGGGAGCGUAGGCGGCAUGUCAAGCGUGCUGUGAAAUGUUCGGGCUCAACCCGGGCCUUGCAGCGCGAACUGGCGUGCUUGAGUCCGCUGAAAGCAGGCGGAAUUCGUCGUGUAGCGGUGAAAUGCUUAGAUAUGACGAAGAACUCCGAUUGCGAAGGCAGCUUGCUGCAGCGGAACUGACGCUGAUGCUCGAAAGCGCGGGUAUCGAACAGGAUUAGAUACCCUAGUAGUC